This is a long non-coding RNA of Equus caballus (horse), 2516 nucleotides long. The record is from Ensembl. Lineage: Eukaryota; Metazoa; Chordata; Mammalia; Perissodactyla; Equidae.
UCUUAGCUCUCCUAUCACUCAGGAAGUUACAAGUUUUAGGAGCUCUGUGUCAGGAACCAGGGGCAGAGACCAAACAUAUAUUUCUUAUUAUGUCACAGUCUACUCCCUGGUCUCUGGCCAUGACCCCCUUACAGCAAACCAGUUAUAAAAGUUAAAAGAUACUAGCUGAAAAUGCAAUGCACUGUAGUGAGGAUGCGCAUCAGCUUUGAGUCCCAGCUUCCCCAUCUAAAAGCUGUAUGAUCUUGAGGACAUUUCUUUGUUCCUCUGAACCUCAAUUUCUUCCUCUGUGAAAUGAGAAAAAUAAUAGAACCUGUCUUCUAGGUCUGUUGUGAUGAUUAAGUGAGAUAAGGUACUGAAUGCACUUCGUGCAGCAGCUAGAACACGUAUUUUCAAGAUGAAGCUUCUGUUCCUGUCAUCUAUUCAGGAACCAAGGUUUCCCCAAGAAUAAAAGGAAGACUUUCUUAUUCAAACCACAGUCCAAGGAGUGGCAAACACGCCUUUAUCUGCCCUUCUAGAAGUGGGUCUCAAAGUCACAGCCGGACUCCAGAUGGUUGCUGUUUCACUGGAGAUCAUGCCAUUGCUUGCUCAAAAUUAAAUUAUCUUCUCAGAGAGCACCACAUUUGGGGCAUUUAUUUCUCCAGAAUGUGUAAACCAAUUAUUUCUAGUCUUUCUUAGAGAUUUUUUAUUUCCAUUAAUUCACAGAUCAUGUUUGAGAAUAUGUCCCUUCUCCACAGUUAUUCUCCACAUGCUCCCUCUCCACGAUUUAUUCAUUUCUGUCUUAAGUCUAAGGGUUAAGGAGUGAUAUGUGCUUAGUGUGAUAAGGAUAUGAAAGGGGAGGGCAGGAAGAUGAGCUUCUUACCCUUUCGGGGGUUGACUCCCUAUUUGGAAACCAAGAAGUGAGGAAUAAAGGAAGGAUAGCAUACAAUGUUAUUGGCUCUCAUUUUACAGGCAGCGUGCAUUAACAAAGAAGUCUAUACCUAAAAGACCUCAUGGAGACCCAGAUUUUCAACUUACUAGAAUUUUUGUGUGUUUUUUUUGACAUCCUGCUUUCCAUUGCCAAGCUUAAUAUAGAGUUCCCUUAGGGUCUUUCAGUUUUUAUACUAUUAUAGCUACGAGAUUGGUAACACUCCCUUCUUAAGAUUCUAACAAUACCAUUUACAAUAACUCACAAAAAUGAAGGACCUAGGAAUAAAUCUAACAAAAAGAGGAACAAGACUCCUGGAGAGAAAAUUAUAACAUUGUUUAGAGAUACUAACAAUGACAUUUUAAAAAAAGGAGAGCUAUGCCACAUUCAAGAAUCGGACAAGUCAGUAUUGUAACGUCAGCAUGUCCCCCAGCCCCCAGCCCCACAGAGAUCUGCAGACUUAAUGCAGGCCCGCUCCACAUCCAACAGUCUUCUCAGGAGAAUCUGACACAGUUGAUCACUCUUUCCUUCUUGAGACCCUUUCUUCUGUGUUUUUCUCUUCCCUCUUUGGCUAGUCCUUGUCAACAUCCUUUGCUGCCAACUCUUCUACACAACCUUUAAGGUUUGGUAUGUCCCAGGGUUCAGCCCUAGACCCUUUUCUGUUGUCUAUCUGUACUUUUUGCUCACAUUGUCUCUUCUAAUCCCAUGGCUCUAAAUACCACAUAUAUAUGAUGAUUCUCAUAUUUUUACCUCUACUUCAGGAUUCUUCCCUGAGCUCCACUCAUAUAUCCAUUGCUUUUCCAACAGUUACACUUAAAUGUCCAAUAGGAAUUUUAAUGUCUAAGACAGGACUUUUGCUUCUUGCUACUCCUCUCUCUCCUGCUCCACCAGCUUGCUCUUUCUCAGCUCAGUCAAUGAAAUUAGUUUAUUGCUCAGGCCCCAAAUCUAGGAGUGUUCCUGAUUCCUCUCUUUCCCACAUUCCCUACAUCUAAUCAAUCAGCAAGCUUUUUUGGCACUUCCUGCAAAAUAUAUUCCAAAGGUGACCAAUUCUCAACACUUCCACUGCCACCAUGUGUGUCCAAGCUACCAUUCUCUCACCUGGAUUCCUAACUGGAAUCCUUGCUUCCACUGUUAUCCCCUGACUGUCCCUGGGGUCUGUCUCCAACUAAGCCUGGUGGCAGUGAGGACUGUCAACCCCUUCCAGCCAGUUGCCAGCUAUGCCUCUGUUCCAUCUGGUUCUAAGGCUUGGAAUCACUGAGCAGGUCUUGCUAUCUUUGGCUCCUUGAGGGAAAAUUCCUAAAUCCAGAAGGCGCUGGGCUUUCUCCCAACUGAGUGCGGGAGCCAGAAUGGGGCCCAACUCUUCCUGUUUUACCCCAAACCGGUUGAUCCACUUUGGGGAUUCCUUCUCAGGCUGGGAACCCUCUGAGUGUUCUGAAAUAGGUCUGGAUUCUUGUAGAAGCCCCCGUGGUCCUUGAAUGAGUUUAGGGCUCUUCCUCCAGAACCUGGAAGGUGAGAAACGACCCUCAACUGACCCACCCUCCUCAUAACCAGUUGCCUGUUCUGCUCCAUAAAUGUCUACUCUGGGGUGUUGUGCUUAGGUCUGGAAGUCCUG